Molecule: ribosomal RNA, 774 nt
Filed under: uncultured Neocallimastigales
Lineage: Eukaryota; Fungi; Neocallimastigomycota; Neocallimastigomycetes; Neocallimastigales
Description: partial large subunit ribosomal RNA
Rfam family: Eukaryotic large subunit ribosomal RNA
Source: RNAcentral
CAUAGCGACUAUCGUGGCAUAUCAAUAAGCGGAGGAAAAGAAACUAACAAGGAUUCCCCUAGUAACGGCGAGUGAAGCGGGAAGAGCUCAAAUUUGAAAUCUUCAAGGUUUUACCUUGACGAAUUGUAGUUUAAAGAAGUGUUUUCGGUUAGAGGAGUAGCAAAAGUUCUUUGGAAUAGGACAUCAUAGAGGGUGAGAAUCCCGUAUUUGACUAUUCCUUCUAGCUUUGUGAUACACUUUCAAAGAGUCGGAUUGUUUGGGAAUGCAGUCCAAAAUGGGUGGUAAAUUUCAUCUAAAGCUAAAUAUUGGCGAGAGACCGAUAGCGAACAAGUACCGUGAGGGAAAGAUGAAAAGAACUUUGAAAAGAGAGUUAAACAGUACGUGAAAUUGUCAAAAGGGAAGCGUUUGACACCAGUGUUGUUUUUCCGAAAAUCAAUUAAAAAUUGAUUCAUGCCAGGUUGUAUUGACCUUAUCAGCUUGCAAUUUGGUUUUGGGUCUCUUUUUGAUGCACUUUUCGGUUAACAAGUCAACAUCAAUUUCCUUUGCUGUAAAAAGGUAAGAGGAAGGUGGCUUCAAUUUCGGUUGAAGUGUUUAUAGCCUUUUAUCUCUGCAGUCGGGGAGAUUGAGGUCUGCAGCGUAGAUCCUUCGGGGCUAGAUACAUUUAUGCUAAGUUAUAGCUUUUCAUAGACAACUUGUUGACUAUGUUUAGUCAUGUAGCUUACUCGUAAGUGCUAUUUUACCUACGCUUAGGAUGUUGACGAGACUGUCGAUCUC